CCUACGGGUGGCAGCAGUGGGGAAUAUUGGGCAAUGGAGGCAACUCUGACCCAGCAACGCCGCGUGAAUGAUGAAGGUCUUCGGAUUGUAAAGUUCUUUUCUAAGGGAAGAAGAAAGUGACGGUAACUUCGGAAUAAGUCUCGGCUAACUACGUGCCAGGCACCGCGGUAAUACGUAGGAGGCAAGCGUUAUCCGGAAUGACUGGGCGUACAGGGUGCGUAGGUGGUUUGACAAGUUAGUAGCGAAACUCCGGAGCUCAACUUCGGAACUGCAACUAAAACUGUUAGGCUUGAGUGCAGGAGAGGCAAGCGGAAUUCCUGGUGUAGCGGUGAAAUGCGUAGAGAUUAGGAGGAACACCGGUGGCGAAGGCGGAUUGCUAGACUGUAACUGACACUGAGGUACGAAAGCGUGGGGAGCAAACAGGAUUAGAUACCCGGGUAGUC
This 443-nucleotide ribosomal RNA is filed under the name uncultured bacterium. RNAcentral describes it as "partial 16S ribosomal RNA". It matches the Rfam family "Bacterial small subunit ribosomal RNA", at positions 338 to 795 of the family's 1533-position model. The record is from RNAcentral.